UACGUAGGGGGCAAGCGUUGUCCGGAUUUAUUGGGCGUAAAGCGCUCGCAGGCGGCUCGAUGCGUCGUGCGUGAAACACCCCGGCUCAACUGGGGAGGGUCGUGCGAUACGGUCGGGCUGGAGGCCAGUAGGGGGAUGCGGAAUUCCGGGUGUAGUGGUGGAAUGCGUAGAGAUCCGGAGGAACACCAGCGGCGAAGGCGGCAUCCUGGACUGGUCCUGACGCUCAGGAGCGAAAGCGAGGGGAGCGAUCCGG
RNAcentral lists this ribosomal RNA (253 nucleotides) under uncultured bacterium. RNAcentral describes it as "partial 16S ribosomal RNA". It matches the Rfam family "Bacterial small subunit ribosomal RNA", at positions 524 to 776 of the family's 1533-position model. The record is from RNAcentral.